UACGUAGGGGGCAAGCGUUGUCCAGAAUCAUUGGGCGUAAAGAGCGUGUAGGCGGUCCGGUAAGUCGGUUGUGAAAGUCCAGGGCUCAACCCUGGGAUGCCGACCGAUACUGUCGGACUAGAGUUCGGAAGAGGCGAGUGGAAUUCCCGGUGUAGCGGUGAAAUGCGCAGAUAUCGGGAGGAACACCUAUGGCGAAGGCAGCUCGCUGGGACGUUACUGACGCUGAGACGCGAAAGCGUGGGGAGCAAACAGG
This 253-nucleotide ribosomal RNA is filed under the name uncultured bacterium. RNAcentral describes it as "partial 16S ribosomal RNA". It matches the Rfam family "Bacterial small subunit ribosomal RNA", at positions 524 to 776 of the family's 1533-position model. The record is from RNAcentral.